Non-coding RNA from Chrysemys picta bellii (western painted turtle), 551 nucleotides. The record is from RefSeq and is a predicted model, not a curated record. NCBI's taxonomy places the organism in Eukaryota, Metazoa, Chordata, Testudines, Emydidae.
CCUGCCUGCACUUCGGCAGCGUUGUCCCUCUUGUCACCCCCUUGGUGGGGCCCCUUUCCUUUACUAUGGUAAUAGUGACAUUCAGCGGGAAAGGCUAGAAGCCAACAUCAAAAAGCCCAGGCACAGAACUGGUUAUUUAUUCCAUUUGUGUGUUUGUUUUUUACACCAUCUAGGCUACAGCCCGGCAAAUCUAUACAGCACCUUCAAAAUGCUAGACCAGGAAGAUGCAAGUAAGCAGCUUGGAUGACACUUGAAAGAAUGGCAAAGGCUUUGCCGUGAGGAAGAAUUUCCCUGCUGAGCUCCUAUUGCCAAAGGAUAUUUACCUGGCGCCCUGACAAGAUCUGUUAGAAAGACCCCUUUCUCCCUGCUUGUAUAUGGCAAAGUUUCUUGCAGAGCUCCUGGGCUGCACAUUGCCGGACAAGGGCACCUCUCCCAUGUUUGAGUCCAGAAGUCAGUCCCGUAUUGGCCUGAAGCAAAGUACCAAGCAGAAGACCACAACUUUCAGCACCUUGGCCAAUGAGAAGACCUUAUCUGACCGCAAACGGGUAAGU